RNAcentral lists this ribosomal RNA (497 nucleotides) under uncultured bacterium. Its description in RNAcentral is "partial 16S ribosomal RNA". It matches the Rfam family "Bacterial small subunit ribosomal RNA", at positions 28 to 507 of the family's 1533-position model. The record is from RNAcentral.
GAUGAACGCUGGCGGCGUGCCUAAUACAUGCAAGUCGAGCGAACAGACGAGGAGCUUGCUCCUCUGACGUUAGCGGCGGACGGGUGAGUAACACGUGGAUAACCUACCUAUAAGACUGGGAUAACUUCGGGAAACCGGAGCUAAUACCGGAUAAUAUUUUGAACCGCAUGGUUCAAUAGUGAAAGACGGUUUUGCUGUCACUUAUAGAUGGAUCCGCGCUGCAUUAGCUAGUUGGUAAGGUAACGGCUUACCAAGGCAACGAUGCGUAGCCGACCUGAGAGGGUGAUCGGCCACACUGGAACUGAGACACGGUCCAGACUCCUACGGGAGGCAGCAGUAGGGAAUCUUCCGCAAUGGGCGAAAGCUUGACGGAGCAACGCCGCGUGAGUGAUGAAGGUCCUCGGAUCGUAAAACUCUGUUAUUAGGGAAGAACAAAUGUGUAAGUAACUAUGCACGUCUUGACGGUACCUAAUCAGAAAGCCACGGCUAACUACGUG